This 253-nucleotide ribosomal RNA is filed under the name uncultured bacterium. RNAcentral's name for it is "partial 16S ribosomal RNA". It matches the Rfam family "Bacterial small subunit ribosomal RNA", at positions 524 to 776 of the family's 1533-position model. The record is from RNAcentral.
UACGUAGGGGGCAAGCGUUGUCCGGAUUUAUUGGGCGUAAAGAGCGUGUAGGCGGCCUGAAAGGUCAGCUGUGAAAACUCGAGGCUCAACCUCGAGACGUCGGUUGAAACCAUCUGGCUAGAGUCCGGAAGAGGAGUGUGGAAUUCCCGGUGUAGCGGUGAAAUGCGCAGAUAUCGGGAAGAACACCCGUGGCUAAGGCGGCUCUCUAGUACGGUACUGACGCUGAGACGCGAAAGCGUGGGGAGCGAACAGG